RNAcentral lists this ribosomal RNA (173 nucleotides) under Konosirus punctatus (Konoshiro gizzard shad). RNAcentral's name for it is "partial 12S rRNA". The record is from RNAcentral. Lineage: Eukaryota; Metazoa; Chordata; Actinopteri; Clupeiformes; Clupeidae.
CACCGCGGUUAUACGAGAGACCCAAGUUGAUAAGCCCGGCGUAAAGAGUGGUUAUGGAUAACACAAAACUAAAGCUAAAGACCCCCUAGGCUGUUAUACGCACCUGGCGGCUCGAGUCACCAACACGAAAGUAGCUUUACCCCCUCUCACCAGAACCCACGACAGCUGGGGCA